RNAcentral lists this ribosomal RNA (468 nucleotides) under uncultured bacterium. Its description in RNAcentral is "partial 16S ribosomal RNA". It matches the Rfam family "Bacterial small subunit ribosomal RNA", at positions 28 to 507 of the family's 1533-position model. The record is from RNAcentral.
GACGAACGCUGGCGGCGUGCUUAACACAUGCAAGUCGAACGGAAGGGCCCUGCUUUUGCGGGGUGCUUGAGUGGCGAACGGGUGAGUAACACGUGAGUAUCCUGCCCUUGACUUUGGGAUAUCUCCAGGAAAAUGGGGAGCAUACCGGAUAGGAUCUCUUGCAGCAUGGUGGGGGUUGGAGAGUUACGGUGGUUGGGGAUGGACUCGCAGCUUAUCAGCUUGUUGGUGGGGUAGUGGCUUACCAAGGGUUUGACGGGUAGCCGGCCUGAGAGGGUGACCGGCCACAUUGGGACUGAGAUACGGACCAGACUCCUACGGGAGGCAGCAGUGGGGAAUAUUGCACAAUGGGCGGAAGCCUGAUGCAGCAACGCCGCGUGCGGGAUGACGGCCUUCGGGUUGUAAACCGCUUUCGCCUGUGACGAAGCGUGAGUGACGGUAAUGGGUAAAGAAGCACCGGCUAACUACGUG